RNAcentral lists this ribosomal RNA (352 nucleotides) under uncultured Anoxybacillus sp. RNAcentral's name for it is "bacterial SSU rRNA". It matches the Rfam family "Bacterial small subunit ribosomal RNA", at positions 1027 to 1382 of the family's 1533-position model. Lineage: Bacteria; Bacillati; Bacillota; Bacilli; Caryophanales; Anoxybacillaceae. The record is from RNAcentral.
AGGGUGACGAGGUGGUGCAUGGUUGUCGUCAGCUCGUGUCGUGAGAUGUGGGUUAAGUCCGCAACGAGCGCAACCCUCGACCUUAGUUGCCAGCAUUCAGUUGGGCACUCUAAGGUGACUGCCGGCUAAAAGUCGGAGGAAGGUGGGGAUGACGUCAAAUCAUCAUGCCCCUUAUGACCUGGGCUACACACGUGCUACAAUGGGCGGUACAAAGGGUCGCGAACCCGCGAGGGGGAGCCAAUCCCAAAAAGCCGCUCUCAGUUCGGAUUGCAGGCUGCAACUCGCCUGCAUGAAGCCGGAAUCGCUAGUAAUCGCGGAUCAGCAUGCCGCGGUGAAUACGUUCCCGGGCCUU